CUCCUUACAUGGCUUUUCAGAAUGUUUAUUUCAACAUGUCAUGACUUUUGUAGUCAACAGAGGGAUGCAAUAUAAAGUUUGCAGUAAAAUCCACUGAGAAUGAAGUAGUUGGUCUGGGAGAUAGCUGGAUGACCCCUGAAGUGAAUGGUAAAAACAUUCUGAGAUUAACGGCCUGGUCUAAAUCCCACUGAAGACAACAGAAUCUCCCCUACUGUAAAGAUCCUCUAAAAACACCUGAGAGAAUUCAGCAGUGUUGGAAAGAGUCUCUACUGUAAUCACAUUUGUUAUAUAAAUAGCAGUUUAAAAUCUGUUUUUAGUUUCAUUCCGAUGCAGUUCGAUUAUUCAGAAUAGGUAUUUUCACGGAUUCAUAGAUUUA
This is a non-coding RNA of Anas platyrhynchos (mallard), 376 nucleotides long. Lineage: Eukaryota; Metazoa; Chordata; Aves; Anseriformes; Anatidae. The record is from RefSeq and is a predicted model, not a curated record.